RNAcentral lists this ribosomal RNA (550 nucleotides) under uncultured eukaryote. RNAcentral's name for it is "SSU rRNA". It matches the Rfam family "Eukaryotic small subunit ribosomal RNA", at positions 4 to 567 of the family's 1831-position model. The record is from RNAcentral.
CUGGUUGAUCCUGCCAGUAGGAAAGCRUGUCUCAAAGACUAAGCCAUGCAUGUCUAAGUAUAAAUGUUAUACAGUGAAACUGCGAAUGGCUGAGAAAGCGGKUAUAGUUUAUUUGAUAAUCGAAUUUACAUGGAUAACCGUGGUAAUUCUAGAGCUAAUACAUGCUGUUAAGCCUGACCCUGAGGAAGGGCUGUAUUUAUUAGAUAACAAACCAAUAUUCCUUGUGUCUAUUGUGACGACUCAUAAUAACUGAUCGAAUCGCAUGGGCUUUGCCCGCGAUACAUCAUUCAAGUUUCUGCCCCAUCAGCUUUCGAUGGUAGUGUAUUGGACUACCAUGGCUUUCACGGGUAACGGAGGAUUAGGGUUCGAUUCCGGAGAGGGAGCCUGAGAAACGGCUACCACAUCUAAGGAAGGCAGCAGGCGCGUAAAUUACCCAAUCCUGACUCAGGGAGGUAGUGACAAGAAAUAACGGACCGAAGCCUAUGUUUCGGGAUUGCAAUGAGUAGAAUUUAAACCCCUUUACGAGGAUCAAUUGGAGGGCAAGUCUGGU